Molecule: long non-coding RNA, 101 nt
Organism: Limulus polyphemus (Atlantic horseshoe crab)
Lineage: Eukaryota; Metazoa; Arthropoda; Merostomata; Xiphosura; Limulidae
Exons: 3
Source: RefSeq, a predicted model, not a curated record
CUUGUUUGCCAUAUAAUGGAUAGGUAAAUCUUCUUUAGUGGCUCUGAAUCCCCUUGAUAACUCACAUCAUGUUCUUAAAAACUUUUUUUAGUAGAUCACUG